This 911-nucleotide ribosomal RNA is filed under the name Sphaeridium vitellinum. RNAcentral's name for it is "LSU rRNA". It matches the Rfam family "Eukaryotic large subunit ribosomal RNA", at positions 38 to 964 of the family's 3401-position model. Lineage: Eukaryota; Fungi; Ascomycota; Pezizomycetes; Pezizales; Pyronemataceae. The record is from RNAcentral.
GCAUAUCAUAGCGGAGGAAAAGAAACCAACAGGGAUUACCUCAGUAACGGCGAGUGAAGCGGUAACAGCUCAAAUUUGAAAUCUGGCUCUUUCAGGGUCCGAGUUGUAAUUUGUAGAAGAUGCUUCGGGUGUGGCUCCGGUCUAAGUUCCUUGGAACAGGACGUCAUAGAGGGUGAGAAUCCCGUAUGUGACUGGCUGCCUCCGCUCAUGUGAAGCUCUUUCGACGAGUCGAGUUGUUUGGGAAUGCAGCUCAAAAUGGGUGGUAAAUUUCAUCUAAAGCUAAAUAUUGGCCAGAGACCGAUAGCGCACAAGUAGAGUGAUCGAAAGAUGAAAAGCACUUUGGAAAGAGAGUUAAACAGUACGUGAAAUUGUUGAAAGGGAAGCGCUUGCAAUCAGACUUGCGCGCUGCUGAUCAUCCGGGGUUCUCCCCGGUGCACUCGGUAGCGCUCAGGCCAGCAUCGGUUUGGGUGGUUGGAUAAAGGCCUUGGGAAUGUAGCUUCUUUCGGGGAGUGUUAUAGCCCUCGGUGCAAUGCAGCCUAUCCGGACCGAGGACCGCGCUUCGGCUAGGAUGCUGGCGUAAUGGUUGUAAGCGACCCGUCUUGAAACACGGACCAAGGAGUCUAACAUUUAUGCGAGUUUUAGGGUGUUAAACCCUAGAGCGUAAUGAAAGUGAACGGAGGUGAGAACCCUUAAGGGUGCAUCAUCGACCGGUCCUGAUGUCUUCGGAUGGAUCUGAGUAAGAGCAUAACUGUUGGGACCCGAAAGAUGGUGAACUAUGCCUGAAUAGGGUGAAGCCAGAGGAAACUCUGGUGGGAGGCUCGCAGCGGUUCUGACGUGCAAAUCGAUCGUCAAAUUUGGGUAUAGGGGCGAAAGACUAAAUCGAAACCAUCUAGUAGCUGGGUUCCUGCGGA